AACGAACGCUGGCGGCAGGCCUAACACAUGCAAGUCGAGCGGCACCUUCGGGUGUAGCGGCGGACGGGUUAGUAACGCGUGGGAACGUGCCCUUCUCUACGGAAUAGCCUCGGGAAACUGAGAGUAAUACCGUAUACGCCCUUUGGGGGAAAGAUUUAUCGGAGAAGGAUCGGCCCGCGUCUGAUUAGAUAGUUGGUGGGGUAAUGGCCUACCAAGUCUACGAUCAGUAGCUGGUUUUAGAGGAUGAUCAGCAACACUGGGACUGAGACACGGCCCAGACUCCU
Molecule: ribosomal RNA, 284 nt
Filed under: uncultured bacterium
Lineage: Bacteria
Description: partial 16S ribosomal RNA
Rfam family: Bacterial small subunit ribosomal RNA
Source: RNAcentral